This is a long non-coding RNA of Esox lucius (northern pike), 2307 nucleotides long. The record is from Ensembl. Lineage: Eukaryota; Metazoa; Chordata; Actinopteri; Esociformes; Esocidae.
CCCCCUACGACCAGGUAGCCCUGCUGCACGCCGACGGUCCAUCUGAGAACAUACAGAAGAUGGUUAAACAACAAGUACAGUGAAGACAGUCAUUGAAACAACGCCAGUUACAAAGAUCAGAACUCUGCUUGGCUAACAGGCAAUGAUUAAUGACAGCUGUCUCAAGGGGUCAGAAACGUCAAGAUUUAGUCACAUUCCAUAAGUUGACACGUUUAGUAUUACUGGCAGCAUACAAAGCAUUCAUAUUCAGCUGUCUCAAGGGGUCAGAAACGUCAAGAUUUAGUCACAUUCCAUAAGUUGACACGUUUAGUAUUACUGGCAGCAUACAAAGCAUUCAUAUUCAGGUGUCUCGCCAAAUAGGUCUCAGAUAAUUUGGUUGAGGAUAUCCAUCACACGUUCAGCGUGGUGCAUGAUUUCUCAUCACAGACCCAUGUCAUGUAGACUGAAUUAACCCGGCUGCCUACUGCUUACCAUUAGGUGGGGAAGGCCAUCCAUCCAUCCGACAAGGAGCCAUCCCUUCUUUUAUUCAUAUGCUUAGACAGUGGGACCCCAAUCAGAUUUGAGUGGAAUCCAAUACCUUGCUGAUCACUUCGCAAAGGGAGCGCUAUAAAGAAACCAUUAAAAAGGUGUAACGAGUUAGAGACCAGUCAUCAUCUACUCCAAUUAGAUUUCAUAAAUGUUGCUCUUGUCGAGCCAUGAUCACCCCAAGCCCCCACUGUUCUGGGUCCUUGGUGUAAACAUGACCCUUUCACUCUCCGCCCCUCAUGACACAGGUUCAACACGUACAGUCGGACUGCAACGCCUCGAGGGGCAGAUUGGUAGAACAUUCUACAUGUAGGCAGGUUUCCCCGGAGGACAGCCUCACCAUGGCAUGAUGCUCCAGGUUACCCCCCUACGACAAGGUAGCCCUGCUGCACGCCGACGGUCCAUCUGAGAACAUACAGAAGAUGGUUAAACAACAAGUACAGUGAAGACAGUCAUUGAAACACAACGCCAGUUACACAGCACCAUUUGUUAACAUGUUAGAUAGAAACUAGCCUUUAUCUGGCCCGGUUCCAUACUCGCUGCCCACUGAACAGGACAAGCGAGCCAUCGUGGGUCAGUUUCUGUCUGCCCGCUUAAUGCAAAACAGUGACAUUGGAGUCAGUUAUGUCUCAAGGGGCAAGAAACACCAAGAGAUACUAUUAGAAUUUUUUUCCCAAAAGACAAACAAGACAUUUAAUACUACUACAGUCAAAAUAGAAAGCAAUCAAAACAGCCAAAAGAACACUGAUAUUCAAGUGUCUGGCUACACUGGUCCCAGAUAAUUUGGUAGUGGAUAUCGCAUGAUUUCAUCCAAGAACUCAUUUAAAAGGCUGCCUGUUGCUUACCAUCAAAAGUUCCUGCCAUUCUUCAAGAAAGGCAGCCAUCAUCCUUCUUCCAUUCAUCACUUCAUGGGGCACCAGAUUACAGUGGUAUCAAAUAUUCUCCAACAAAGACAAAAGUGGGAAAACUAGAGAGAGAAAAUUAGAGCUAUUAGCUAAGAUCUGUCAAUUUACUGUUAUUUAAUUGCAUAAAACGUCACAUCAGAGCUAAGAUCACUUGGAACAGUUCUGGGUCAUUGGGAGCACAUAUGGCCCAAUCAUGUCACCCCUUAACAGACAGGUUUAACAGUCAGACAGCAAGCCCUGGAGAAGCUGCUUGGCAGGAAACCAAACAGUAAUAGUGUACAAAUAGCGAACUACAAGAAAUGGAACCAAUGUGGCCUUUUGUAUUAUCACCAAGGGUUGUUCAUUACACCACCCACUUCUCCGCUCCUUACCGUUAAAACUAGUCUUAAUUAAAACCCCUCCUUAACAGAUGAAUCGCCAUAUAAAUCUAGUUUAACCAGAAGAUCUCUCGCUGGCACUGAAACGCCAUGGCUUUUAGGUUAAUCGCCGUGUGCCGUGGUUUCGCACCUACGUUACCUCAUGUUGCUUAUGCUAAGAACGUGUUACAACUAUUAGUAGUGCUUCGAUAGAUAUAUCAAUAGCAUUAAUUCUUAAUACAACGCAAUUAAACUUUAUUACAGCAGGCUGUCACAGGAUGAGGAAUUAUAUGGGAAAAAAUAAAAGAACCAACUGUCUGUACAGUAACAAACGUUCCACGAGGUUGUAACACGCAUUCGAUCACAGUUAGUGGGAAAAAAUAUAAAAUGAAAAUGGCUACAACGCAUCAAACACCCAACAUUAAAACACCCUCAAUAUAUUUAAAAUAAACGCAUCACGUGCAUUAAAAGUCUUUGCGCAAAGAGAACUGAAACAAAUAACACAGCACACUCACCCCCGA